CACUGAGAGACGCAGCAAUGCUAUACGGUUCGUCAUUUGGCUGCUUGUACCAAAGAAAAAAUACACCAGUGUUCCAGAGAAAGAGGAAGAGAAAGUAACAUAAAGUGUGCGUGUGUGUGGGUGUCACGCUGUGGUUCACUUCAUGUUAUAUUUUGUAGUUUUCUGCCACUCGUGUCCCCGGGUAACUUCACUUCCUGCCUUGUCAUGUCAUCCCCUGUGUGCAACAGCGACUCCGGGGGCUUCCCGCUCCCUCCAGCUGGCAACUCCGGCUUCCUGCAUCCUCACGCCGACAACCGCGGUGGUGUUCCGUGUCCCCGAGCCGGCGACGGCCGCGGUGGUGUUCAGUGUCCCCGAGCCGCCGCCGACUACUGCGGAGGUGUUCCGUGUCCCCGAGCUGGAGCCGCCGCCGACUACUGCGGACGUGUUCCGUGUCCCCGAGCUGGAGCCGACUGCGGAGGUGUUCCGUGUCCCCGAGCUGGAGCCGGCCGCGGAGGUGUUCCGUGUCCCCGAGCUGGAGCCGACCUCAGAGGUGUUCCGUGUCCCCGAGCUGGAGCCGACCGCGGAGGUGUUCCGUGUCCCCGAGCUGGAGCCGACCGCGGAGGUGUUCCGUGUCCCCGAGCUGGAGCCGACCGCGCCGGUGUUCCGUGCCCCCGAGCUACCGACGACCCCGGACGUGUUCCGUGUCCCCGAGCUGGAGCCGCCGCAGACUACUGCGGACGUGUUCAGUGUCCCCGAGCCGCCACCGCCGCAGACUACUGCGGACGUAUUCAGUGUCCCCGAGCCGCCACCGACGACCGCGCCCGUGUUCCGUGCCCGCGAGCUGCCACCGACGACCGCGCCCCGUGUUUCCGUGCCCCGGAGCCGCCACCGACGACCGCGCCCGUGUUCCGUGCCCCCGAGCCGCCAUCGACGACCGCGCCCGUGUUCCGGGCCCCCGAGCCACCGAGGACCCCGGAGGUUUCCCGUGUCUCCGAGCCACCCAUUCCAGAGACGUUCCCUGCCCUGCAGGUCGGCGCUCCGGAGCCGGCCUGGUGACCGUCCGCCGGGCCGACCCCCAGAGGCUCCCCGCUCGUCUGGCCGCCCGCCGGGCCGCCCGCCAGAGUUUCCCGGGUGGUCCGACCAACGUCUCUGAUGUGAGCCGUCUGGAAUUUGGCCCUUGAGGGGGGGGGGGGGGGUACUGUCACGGUGUGGUUCACUUCAUGUUAUAUUUUGUAGUUUUCUGCCACUCGUGUCCCCGGGUAACUUCACUUCCUGCCUUGUCAUGUCAUCCCCUGUGAGCGUCUAAUAGUUUCCACCUGUGUCCAAUCACUUGCACCUCCCUAGUGUAUUUAAGCCAUGUGUGUCGGUUGUCGCGUCAUUGUCUUUGGCCACGCAUGUCCUUGUCUAUCGUCGUGGAUUUUCAUAGUUUCCUGCCUGCUGUUUUUCCCCCUGGUUCCUGUGUGUUUUUGCCCCUUGGCCUUUUGAUUUUGCUUUUGACUAUUAAAAGUCCCUUUUGUUUUUGAACUCUGCGUCUGAGUCCUACCUCCCGCAGUGUGUGUGUGUGUGCGCCUUUUUUAAACAUCCACAGGAUGUCAAAGUUAAGGAAGUUUUCUUUUUGAGCGUGACUGAGUGAUGGAUUAGUAAAUAGAUGUUUCAACAGCCCUUUACAGAGCUGUGGUCUUUGUGAUGGUCACAGAUGUGCUCAGCAAUGCACUUAUGAGUCACCCCCUAUAACUAAAUGCAAUGAUGACUCAUUUUCUUUGGUACAUGAAUCAAGGACCUUAAGUGGUUUUGCUUUUAAUUAGCACUCUGAGUGUUUCCAGUCAUGGUGGAAGUAAAUGGAAAAUUAGAUGAAAGAGCAAAGGUUAAAUACAAGUGUCGUAUUAAUUUUGGAUUGUACAAUUGGAUCGUUCCAAUUUUACUUCAAUUUUUCUUCAACUUAAAACUCUGUGGGAACCAAAAAUGUCCGUACCUUGCUCAUGGAAGACAACUCAAUUAAUAACCACCCAACCUGGUGGUGGUUCUAUCUGAUGGUGGUUGCCCCUGCAGUGGUCCUGCUGUGCGCCUGGCUUACUACUCACAAUUAUUUGAAUCAUUUCUGUCAUGGGAAUUGCAUGUAUUAUACAUUGUUCAUUCUGUACACAUGGCAUCCAUUGUAGUCUGUCCAUCCCGGGAGUGGGAUCCUUCUGACGUUCUCCCUAAGGUUUCUUCCCUUUUUUCCCUCUUGGAAGGGUUUUUUCAUUUUUUUGGGGAGUUUUUCCUGUGCCGAUGGUGGGUUUCGGGAUGAGGUCGUUUGUGUACAGACUGUAAAGCCCUCUGAGGCAAAUUUGAAAAGUAAUGUCUAAUUUGUAAUGUAAUGCGAAUGUGUAAUGCGAUUUUGGGCUAUACAAGAUAAAAUGAAUUGAAUUUAACCUACAUUUUAAAUGGUGGUACCUUUAUUCGAGAAACUUCUGGGGGCCAUUAUUGAUUUGAGUUUCACUUGAUCCUCCUAGGGAAUACAGUAUUAAUCCUCUCAGACACAAACCGAUGAGAUGUUGAAAAAUAGACAUGAAUUGUUCAAUUUGUCCAAGUUUUAAUACAAGCUGCUCUGGAAGCAGUGUGCCUAAUAAAUGGCAGCUUACAGAACCUGACAUCAAGGUUUAGGCUGAUGAGUCCAUUCUUUUAAGUGACGAAGCAGACAAAGGAAGAAGCUAAUCCCACUAUCAUCAUCAGCACAUGGAACCAGAUAGAGAAAACAAGAGAAAGGCAGAGAAAGAGAAAUAAGAAAUUAAGAAAGAUGGUAUUUUGGUCAUUGUUUACUGCAAAAUACAGAAAGAGAUACAUACUGCCAUGGCAGAGUGACCUUAGAGAAUACAUUUUCUUUUCACUUUACUCAUAUCAGUAUGGCCAUAUGGGCCUGUUACAAAGAUCAUUGUUGUUGUGAAUAUAAUGAAAUCAAAGCUGUGUUUCGUUAAAAAAUGUUCAUAACCCGAAAGGCAAACAGUUUUAGUAUCCAAAUUAGAGGUGAGAAGUUGUAAAAUGUUGUGUUUGCGGUGAUGACUCCCUCUCCCUGACUCAUCAGGUGCAUUAGUCCUGGAUGUAGGCCGGCUGGCAUAAAUCAUUUCCUCUGCAGUUCGUACUUGUCCUGCUUGCUGGCAGGCCCAAACCACACAGUGAUAGAUGUGCAGAGAAAAGACCAAAAACAUCCUUUGCUAAUAGUGUCGAAAGUCCAAUUGAUCACUUGAUGCUGACUCCAAAAUGAAACUCCAAAUGAAAUCUAAUUGUGUUUACCAUCUGCUGGUCGACAAGAGCUUGUUAUCAAAUUCAUCCUUUGUGGAAUGUGUCCUGAUUUUUGUUCCACUUCAAGUAAAAGCAAUAACACCUUAUUUGCAUUAAUUUUCUGUCUCGUAAUUCUCCCUAUGGAAAUGACUUUUGUGAAUUUUUGAUAUAAAC
This is a long non-coding RNA of Gasterosteus aculeatus aculeatus (three-spined stickleback), 3411 nucleotides long. The record is from Ensembl. Lineage: Eukaryota; Metazoa; Chordata; Actinopteri; Perciformes; Gasterosteidae.